Molecule: non-coding RNA, 26 nt
Filed under: Homo sapiens (human)
Lineage: Eukaryota; Metazoa; Chordata; Mammalia; Primates; Hominidae
Source: RNAcentral
UAGUGGAAAUAUGGUCGCUGACUUCU